Canis lupus familiaris (dog) is the source of this 2938-nucleotide long non-coding RNA. RefSeq lists it as uncharacterized. The transcript is spliced from 4 exons. The record is from RefSeq and is a predicted model, not a curated record. Lineage: Eukaryota; Metazoa; Chordata; Mammalia; Carnivora; Canidae.
CAUGUACAUUCAGAUGCUUUCUCAUGGGAACCACAAGGGCAUCCCAGAUACUUCCAGCAAGACAGCCUCGUAAAGGUAACGGAGAAGAGUCGAAGUCUGAGUGCAUUCAGAUUCUAAAUGUUAUACAGUUCCAGCAAAGCUGCAGUGAACAAAGUAAAACAUUGACUGAGGUCACUGGAAAAUCGGCUUCCCAAAGAAACUCCCCCAGAUACAGAGUGGUCAUCUUCAUUGAAACAGGGCUCUGGAGCUUGGAUGAGAAAGGCCCUCUGUGGCUUAGAUGCUUUUAAAACAGCUUCAGGAGUGGUCAGGCUGUGUUUGAGGCUAAUCUCCAAGAGCCAAUUCCUGCAGACAGGGGCUGUAAGGGGGUCGGCACUCAAGAGGCCCAUAUUCAGGAGGCCCACAUCCCUCCCCACCGGCCCCUCCAAUACCUUGGUCAGCCAGCCCUUCACAGUGGGCUUGGUGCCGCCCCGAGGCAGGGCUGGAGGCCCCACGGCCUGGACCCUCAGCAGGCUCUGCAGCACCCGGAUCCACUCCUCCAGCAGGCCAGGGUCUGUGUAUACCUGCCUGCCCCCCAGCACACUCCUUGGCACUUCACACCUGUCACUACCCCCUGCCACUGCCUUCACUGUUCCCCAGGACGCCUAUCUCCAGGCAGGCAGCAUCUGCUGGAGGCCUGCUCCCAUCCUGCCUGCCUCAACCCGGCUGAGGGCGCUGUGCUCCCAGCUCACCCCGCCCAGGCCUGGCCCCUCAAUGGAGUAGGAGGAGGUGCGCUGGAGUUUGUGCUCCGGCUCCGAAUAGUCGCUGUCCAGUGAGCAGGCAUCUGGGGGGAUGGCGUAGUCGCCCUCGGAGCUCAGCGAGGACAUGGAGACACCUGCCAAGGGAGGAGGAGUCCAGGCCUGGGUCCCCAUACCCCUCCCGGGGCUGCAGGGACUGCAGGGACCUUCCUCACCGACCCAGGAUCUCUGAGUCUGGAGCUGAGGGUCACAGGCAGAGAUGAAGCAGGGAGCCCUGGAGAAGCCCACCCGUAGGAAGAGGGCUUGCUGCCCCGCACCCUGCUGCUCCCUCCUCUGUACCUCUCUUGAUGGCCCUGGGGCUGCCCAGUCCACUGGUCUUCCUGGACUCUGAGCAGGGGACCGAAGAUCGGAAACUCGCCUGAGAGCUGCAGUCAUCGUCGGACCCGGAGGACUCAUCCAUAAAAGGCACGCUGCUGAUCUGCGUGGCUCUCUGCAAGACAGGUGCCCUCCCCCACUGCAGCUCACCUUGCCAAACAAGACCCUUCCCCUCGGCACUUGUGUUCCUGCCCACGUGCCCGGGGUGCAGCCAACACAGCCUCCCCAGGCACUCGACAGACAACUGUUGCAUCUGUGUCCUCACCUCCAAGCUUCUCCUUUGGCCUCCCGCCCCCACAUGGAGUCCUCCAUCCUCCGUGGUCCCCAAAGGAGCUGCCCCAUCUGAGCUAACUGGCUGCUAUGACCCUUGCUCCUGCCACUAGGGGGCCAGGAUGCCACGUGGCGCAAGCAAGAGACAGGAGCUUUAUUUAUUUAUUUUUAAGAUUUUAUUUAUUUAUGAGAGACACAGAGCGAGAGAGAGAAAGAGAGAGAGAGAGAGAGACAAAGAGAGAGAGAGGCAGAGAGAGAAGCAGGCUCCAUGCAGGGAGCCCGACGUGGGACUCGAUCCCCGGUCUCCAGGAUCACACCCUGGGCUGAAGGUGGCGCUAAACUACUAAGCCACCAGGGCUGCCCGAGACAGGAGCUUUAAACCGUGUGUGGGGAUAAGGAAACAAGAGGCCAUCUCGGUGGGCAACAUUUAGAAAGACAGUGUCAAUGUUGGUGAAAGCGUGGGAAAAAAGAUACUCUAUAGUGUGAUAAAGCCUUUUAGGAGGUAAUUUGGCACUACCUGCCAAAAUUUAAAAUAUGGAUAUCAUUUGCCCAUAAAUUUCACCUCUGGAAAUACAUUAUACUAAGUCCACAGAGAUAUAUUUGCACAAUGAUAUUCAUUACAGCAUUGAUUUUAGAGAAAAACAUAGAUAUGACCUAAAUUGUUAAUCAGUGUGGGCAGCCUGGGUGGUUCAGCGGUUUAGCGCCACCUUCAGUCCAGGGCAUUAUCCUGGAGACCCAGAAUCGAGUCCCAUGUCGGGCUCCCUGCAUGGAGCCUGCUUCUCCCUCUGCCUGUGUGUCUGCCUCUCUCUCUCUCUGUAUGUGUCUCUCAUGAAUAAAUAAAUAAAAUCUUAAAAAAAAAUUGUCAAUCAGUGGAGGGCAGGUUAAGUAAGGUAGUUAUGGGGGAAUCUAUACCAAGGGGUACUGGACAGCCCUAAGGGGAAGCAGAGCUGUGCACAGAGGUACGGCAGGAAGAUGUGACACACGGUCACAUAAACAUACAAGGAGUAGAAGGAUGUGUAUAAUGUGAUCCUCGCUGCGUGCAUGUGUGUGUUUGAGAGAGAGAAAGAGAGGGACAGACAGGGACACAGACAAUAUUUGUCGAUAUACCGGUAAAUUUGUCAGAGAGCCUCACAGGAUAAACACCAAACCAUUAAUGAUAGUGGCCUCUGGGGUCAGAAAUUAGGGAAAAGCAAUGUGAAAGAAAAUUUAACUUUUGGAUUUUUGGUUCUUCUAUAAAAUGUUUUAUAAAGCAUUACUGUUUUGAGCUCAAAAACCACUAAUAAAAUGAAAAAUGUGUAUGACGUUAUCUCAGUUGUAUCUGACCUUUGUUAAAAAAUAUGUAGAGAUAUGAAACUAACAUGACACUGCGUGCCAACUACAUUAAAAAAAAACCACGCAGAGAUAUUAUGAGAGUAUACACAGGAAUAUUUGUUUGAGUAUGUAUGAAAAGUUCUGGAAGGAGUCUUCUUGGGAACAGACAUGUGAAAAGAUGGUGAGGACAGGUGAAGCAGGCAUAGGUCUAACAUUUAACUUUUCACUUUGCCCACAAUUGUAUUGAU